GGCCUGUUAGUGCUUACCACAGGCUCUGUUCUUUAUGCUGACUGUAUAGAAAGAGGAGGCAAAGUAAAACCACCCCACAUACACCCCAGUCCAGGCCCCUGGUCUGGACUGUAUUGUGAAUGGGAGGACAUGG
Molecule: small nucleolar RNA, 133 nt
Organism: Talpa occidentalis (Iberian mole)
Lineage: Eukaryota; Metazoa; Chordata; Mammalia; Eulipotyphla; Talpidae
Product: small nucleolar RNA SNORA51
Exons: 1
Source: RefSeq, a predicted model, not a curated record